RNAcentral lists this ribosomal RNA (492 nucleotides) under uncultured bacterium. RNAcentral describes it as "partial 16S ribosomal RNA". It matches the Rfam family "Bacterial small subunit ribosomal RNA", at positions 29 to 507 of the family's 1533-position model. The record is from RNAcentral.
AGUGAACGCUGGCGGUAGGCCUAACACAUGCAAGUCGAACGGCAGCACAGUAAGAGCUUGCUCUUACGGGUGGCGAGUGGCGGACGGGUGAGGAAUACAUCGGAAUCUACUUUUUCGUGGGGGAUAACGUAGGGAAACUUACGCUAAUACCGCAUACGACCUACGGGUGAAAGCAGGGGAUCUUCGGACCUUGCGCGAUUGAAUGAGCCGAUGUCGGAUUAGCUAGUUGGCGGGGUAAAGGCCCACCAAGGCUACGAUCCGUAGCUGGUCUGAGAGGAUGAUCAGCCACACUGGAACUGAGACACGGUCCAGACUCCUACGGGAGGCAGCAGUGGGGAAUAUUGGACAAUGGGCGCAAGCCUGAUCCAGCCAUACCGCGUGGGUGGAGAAGGCCUUCGGGUUGUAAAGCCCUUUUGUUGGGAAAGAAAAGCAGCAGGUUAAUACCCCGCUGUUCUGACGGUACCCAAAGAAUAAGCACCGGCUAACUUCGUG